GAUCUCACAAGCAAUGCGUAUGAAGUCGUACGCAACACUAAUACCGAAUUGCGUAUGAAUUCAUACGCAAAAUCAGCUAGUGACACAUGCGCAGUAGCCUACAUAUCCGCUCAAUCAAGCAACAUGGCCACGCACGGCCACCUGUCAAAAUCAUUUUUUUAUUUCAUAAAUAAGUUUCGUUACAAUAAAUAAUGGUUUGGUGUAGGCUAAUUAAUGAAAUUUCCGUUUGAUAGCAGUACUUAAAAUUUGAUAAUUAGGUAACCUUUUGGUCACGAUGCUAAAGGUUUACGUUUGUAAUACAUAAAAAAAAAAAUCCGUUUUUUUUAGUUUAGACCCAUGUUUUAUUUUCUUUUUAAAACUGAGAGCCACUAAUAUAUCCAGAAUUUGUUUAGUUGGAGGACGAUCAAUAUAAAGAUUUUAAAUAGCCUUUUUAUAACAUCAUUAAAUAUCCCUUCGUGGCGAAAGUCUAGCUACUUAAACUUUGGAAAUGUGAAGUUCUUCCUGAUGUCAUUAUUUUGCGACUCUGCCAACUUGCUGCCUAUGCUUGCUCCCCAUAUUGAUAAAAGAAACCUCUCUGCUCCGUGUUGUCAAAAGGGAUUGUGGGCAAGACAAGUCAAGAGGAAGACGUGCGGGUUGAAACCAAGCCUCAACGAGAUCGACGGAUCUACUCUUCUUAUUAGUGAACUCAAACUUCUUUCAUUUACUUUUAGUAGGCCUACCAUCUCCUGUGGAUGUGCUACCCUUCCUGAGGAUUCUGUCAUUCCACAUCUACUGAUUCCUCAAGAUUAAUUUUGGCUGUGCUUGCGUAACCCUUUGUGAACACACAGUGGGACAGUGCUAGUCGGCUGCAGGGCCAGCUGAGCUCAAUGGGGUGCACCAUCGGGGAGCUGGUGGGCCUCUUGGUCAUUCGCCCGGCCCAUCAUGCCGUUUUCUCGCUUGACCCAACCUGCUACAGCUGCUCCCUGCAUCAGUUCAGCUCACAGCUCAAUCAGCAUUCCGCUGAGCUACAGGUACAUACACGCUCGUGGUCUGUCACUCCAGUGGGUCUUUAGUGCCAGAGCAGACUACAGCAGAGCUGCCAAGUACAUCCAGAACAGCAACAUUGAUGAUGAGAGAGUGACCUGCCUCCUCAACACUCGCAUCAUGAGGUAGACUUACCAUCUCCUGCGGAUGUGCUACCCUUCCUGAGGAUUCUGUCAUUCCACAUCUACUGAUUCCUCAAGAUGAAUUUUGAUAGCAGCAAGAGGACAUGGACGAUCAUCCAUGUGGAAAUAUCAUUGACCUCUCCCCUUCACCUAGAAUCCUCCAUGGUCUCCUGCUUCCAACAAUCAUUGACACAUCUGUGAAAUGAAACCAGACCGAGGGGACAUUUUUCAACUCCAUCAGCUGAUUUGGACCUGAGCAAACAACCAAGAAUUGGAGCUUUGCAGUAAUCUCUGAACAAUCUGCACAGCUAUUGACAGACACUCAUCUUA
Long non-coding RNA from Alosa sapidissima (American shad), 1475 nucleotides. RefSeq lists it as uncharacterized. Lineage: Eukaryota; Metazoa; Chordata; Actinopteri; Clupeiformes; Clupeidae. The transcript is spliced from 7 exons. The record is from RefSeq and is a predicted model, not a curated record.